RNAcentral lists this ribosomal RNA (462 nucleotides) under Salmonella enterica subsp. enterica serovar Typhimurium. Its description in RNAcentral is "partial 23S ribosomal RNA". It matches the Rfam family "Bacterial large subunit ribosomal RNA", at positions 454 to 816 of the family's 2925-position model. Lineage: Bacteria; Pseudomonadati; Pseudomonadota; Gammaproteobacteria; Enterobacterales; Enterobacteriaceae. The record is from RNAcentral.
CAUCCUCCAAGGCUAAAUACUCCUGACUGACCGAUAGUGAACCAGUACCGUGAGGGAAAGGCGAAAAGAACCCCGGCGAGGGGAGUGAAAAAGAACCUGAAACCGUGUACGUACAAGCAGUGGGAGCCCCACCACCAAAGCAUUCUCUGGUGUUGAAGGCCCUGCAAAGCAGCAUCGCGGUGGCGGAGCGUCGUUUGCGACGCCCAACACACAAAACAAGCGGUGAAUGCUUUGGGGUGGGGUGACUGCGUACCUUUUGUAUAAUGGGUCAGCGACUUAUAUUCUGUAGCAAGGUUAACCGAAUAGGGGAGCCGGAGGGAAACCGAGUCUUAAUUGGGCGUUAAGUUGCAGGGUAUAGACCCGAAACCCGGUGAUCUAGCCAUGGGCAGGUUGAAGGUUGGGUAACACUAACUGGAGGACCGAACCGACUAAUGUUGAAAAAUUAGCGGAUGACCUGUGGCU